RNAcentral lists this ribosomal RNA (487 nucleotides) under uncultured bacterium. Its description in RNAcentral is "bacterial SSU rRNA". It matches the Rfam family "Bacterial small subunit ribosomal RNA", at positions 8 to 469 of the family's 1533-position model. The record is from RNAcentral.
AGAGUUUGAUCCUGGCUCAGAACAAACGCUGGCGGCGUGCAUAACACAUGCAAGUCUAACGGGAAAGUCGGCUUCCGCUGGCAAGUACCGUGGCGAACGGGUGAGUAACACGUGGGUAAUCUAACCUCGAGUUUGGGAUAACCUUGCGAAAGCGGGGCUAAUACCGAAUAAGACCACGCUUGGUUCGCCAAGUGCGGUAAAAGGCGGCCUCUUCUUGGAAGCUGUCACUUGAGGAUGAGCCCGCGGCCUAUUAGCUAGUUGGUGGGGUAAUGGCCUACCAAGGCAACAAUGGGUAGCCGGCCUGAAAGGGUGUACGGCCACACUGGCACUGAGAUACGGGCCAGACUCCUACUGGAGGCAGCAGUGGGGAAUUUUGCGCAAUGGGGGAAACCCUGACGCAGCAACGCCGCGUGAGUGAUGAAGGCCUUCGGGUCGUAAAGCUCUUUUAGUGGGGAAGAAUUCCACCCGGGCUAAUACCUCGGGUGUC